This 353-nucleotide ribosomal RNA is filed under the name uncultured bacterium. RNAcentral's name for it is "partial 16S ribosomal RNA". It matches the Rfam family "Bacterial small subunit ribosomal RNA", at positions 338 to 688 of the family's 1533-position model. The record is from RNAcentral.
CCUACGGGUGGCAGCAGUGAGGAAUAUUGGUCAAUGGGCGGAAGCCUGAACCAGCCAAGUAGCGUGCAGGAUGACGGCCCUACGGGUUGUAAACUGCUUUUAUACGGGAAUAACGCGCCUUACGUGUAGGGCUUUGCAUGUACCGUAUGAAUAAGGACCGGCUAAUUCCGUGCCAGCAGCCGCGGUAAUACGGAAGGUCCGGGCGUUAUCCGGAUUUAUUGGGUUUAAAGGGAGCGUAGGCCGCAUGUCCAGCGUGCUGUGAAAUGUCCGGGCUCAACCCGGGCGUUGCAGCGGGAACUGGCGGGCUUGAGUGCGGGGAAGGCAGGCGGAAGUCGUGGUGUAGCGGUGAAAUG